UUAAAUGCUGUGAUAAGAAAUAGUAGCAUAAAAUAAAAGCUGAAAGAGAAAAAUCUUCAUAGGCUGAAAAAGAUUUUAAGCAUAAUUUUAUGUGAAUGCAUCUUUGAGCACUGUCUCGAAAUAAAGUAGACGACAGCGGUUACGCCCGAUAGAAACGUUAAGGUAUGUUUGUGCCGAUAAAAACGAGUUAUUAUAUACUUAUAUUAUAUAUAAUAAUUAGAGUGGAACCGUGGAAUUUACUUCCGCCUCUAAG
Molecule: non-coding RNA, 253 nt
Filed under: Sporanaerobacter sp.
Lineage: Bacteria; Bacillati; Bacillota; Tissierellia; Tissierellales; Sporanaerobacteraceae
Description: T-box sequence
Rfam family: T-box leader
About the family: Uncharged tRNA acts as the effector for transcription antitermination of genes in the T-box leader family. T-boxes are found upstream of many aminoacyl-tRNA synthetase genes and some amino acid biosynthetic genes usually in Gram-positive bacteria.
Source: RNAcentral